UGUAUACAGUCAAGGAUGAUGAAAAUGCACGAGUUGGGCAACACCUACAGGUACCUGAAUUUGUGUCUGAAGGCUGGAAAUUGGAUAUUCAGAGUACUGGUCUAUCUCUUGUGUUUCAUUCCCAUGAAGAAUUUGAUACAAGUACGUUGCAGAUCAUUAGAAAUGAAGAUCUCGAAGAGCUAAAGGAGUUGGGUUCAGGUACAUUUGGGACUGUUUACCAUGGAAAAUGGAGAGGAACAGAUGUUGCCAUCAAGCGG
This is a long non-coding RNA of Hibiscus syriacus, 257 nucleotides long. RefSeq lists it as uncharacterized. The transcript is spliced from 3 exons. Lineage: Eukaryota; Viridiplantae; Streptophyta; Magnoliopsida; Malvales; Malvaceae. The record is from RefSeq and is a predicted model, not a curated record.